Bubalus bubalis (water buffalo) is the source of this 2560-nucleotide long non-coding RNA. RefSeq lists it as uncharacterized. The record is from RefSeq and is a predicted model, not a curated record. NCBI's taxonomy places the organism in Eukaryota, Metazoa, Chordata, Mammalia, Artiodactyla, Bovidae. The transcript is spliced from 3 exons.
CAUUGCAGGCAGAUUCUUUACUGUCUGAGCCAUCAGGGAAGCCCCCUCCCCACUUAUGGUAGGUCCAGCAAAUUCAGUUCAGCCCCAGAAGCCCUGACUGUGUGUCCGCCGUGUUUGAACCCUGAGUAGGGUUGUGGGAACACAGAGACAGCCCGGAGCGUCUUCUCCAGGGAGGACAAACUCUGGCCGGUGACCAGCCGGCACAAACAGAAGUGUUUGUUCUCUUCGAGUGGCUGAGCAGGAAAGACUUGCUGGAGAGCUCACAAGAGGGGGUGGGGGGCUUGGGUCAGAUGUCUCCAUGUUAUCCCCAUCCUUGCUGUUCUCCUGGCUGCACGGACAGAAAUCCAGUUGCAGACGUGCAGGCCAGAGCAUGGGGAGGUGGCGGGGUCCCCAGGACCUGGCUUCCAACCCAGUCCUCACCUCUUCUUCCGCCUGUGACCUCGGGUGCUCUCCGCAGCGUCUCAGAGCCUCAGCCUUCAGCUGGCUGUGAGCUCAGGGAGACCCCAAGGCUGGGAGGCUCAGGGCAGCAUCUUCUGUGCUCCUGCAGGUCAGACAGCCCCAUGGGGGUCAGCUUAGGUGCUGCCUCUCCGCCGGCCAUCUGCUCGGUUCAAGAAGAACUGGGCUCGGUCACCCCAUGGGAAAUGCCUGCAUGGAUCCCGGAGGAGUGGGGGACGCGUGCCUUGCCCGCUUGGCAGGCAUGGAGCUGAUGGAUGAGAGGGGAGGGCAGACUGCCCUGUGGGUUUCCCUGCAGGAAGGAGGCUGCCCUUGGGGACAGCCACCCACUCAGCCACGGUUGCACAGCCUUCCAAACUCUGACCCAGGUCUCCACUUCCAGCACGCCCUCCAGAGGAGGGGGUUGGGAAAUUCAUUUUUGGGGAUGCCAAGUCUCUCUCUGGUCCUGGGUUCGGUGAUGGUGAGCAGGGAGUCUACCUGGAGGGGGAACAGCUACUGAUUCCAGUGGCUUUCGUUUCCUUCCUUGUUUCUCUCAUUUUAUUUUGUUGGAGCAGCGGCUUUCUUUUCGCUACCUCUGAGAAGACCUUCGGGAGAGGCUGGCCUGGGGUCUUCCCAGCAAAUGCGCAUCUGGCUCCGGGCUGCUGUGAUGGAUAGAGGCAAUUUCCCCGCGAAAUCGGCUGCAGUAUUGGCAGUUGCACGGGACAUCCAUUACAUUCCUGCGGAGAGAGAGCUUUUCCAGGGCGCCUCAGGAUGGAGCGAUGCCACUCACAAGGGGGGUGGGGAAGCAGAAAUAACCUAAAGGGAAAGGCGUCUAUUUUAAUUUUUUGCAGAGCUGCGUCUCCUGCAUAUGGGUCCAGCCCACUCUUGUGAAGCGGCUCCUUUUGGAAAAUAAGGGGACUUGCAAACGGCUUUGUUAAAGAUAAGAAAACUGAGGCACAAGGCAAUGAGGUGACUUGCCCAGGGUCAUCUCUUAGUAAGAAGAGGAGCCAGAUUCAAACCCACGCUCUCUGGAACCCGCAUUCACAUUCCUAACGCUCUUUGCUUCUGUCUCUUGCUCAUCUUGCGAAGCCAGACAACUCCCAGAGCUGCACAACAGAAGCUUCUGAAAGGCGGAGAAUCAAAUUGAGUCUCUCUGUGUUUGAGAGAGGGGAAGAACAUGAAUUAGAACCAAACCAAAGGUGGCCACUUGUACCUUCAAGAGGGGUGUGUGUGACGCUAUUUACACAAAAGGGUAUAGACACUUCUUUUUUUUACGUAUGUUUAAUUUAAAAUUUUCAUUGAUGUAUAGUUCUCUGCCCCACUCCAGUGGCACAUGGGCUGCUGGGUUUCACUGUGACUUAGGGUUGUGGUUGUCAGGCCUCUUGUGGAGCUGGAGAAGAAGGAGGAGAACAAGCAAGUUAAGAUGCCACAUGGUUUAUUUUUUAAAAAAAGAACCAGAUUAAGCCUUUUUUUUUUCCUUAAGCAAAUGUUCCCCAGAUUGUUGCGUUUCUGGAGGAGUGGAUUUUUGGAGGUGCUCCCUGCCCCCUCCACCGUCUCCGCGGACACCAUCCUCCCAAGCCAUUUCAGGAGCAGUUAAUCUAAGUUAUUUGCAUUGUGCUGGCCCAAUCGCUGCUUCUUUCUUUCCUCACAUAUUCAAACGUCCUGCAAGAAACCCCCAGGCCUUCUGCUAGAAGGUUUCUUCGUGUGGAAUACAAGGCAGGAAGGGUCCAGGGUUCUGUCUGGGGCAAGAGGAUUUAACACAGGGGCAAGAAGAAAAUAAAAGCCACCCUUCUCCCAUUUUUCUGUCUUGCCUCUUCUCUCAAAUUCUUGGCGGAAAUUGUCCCGAUGUGGGGCUCAAAAUAAUUUCAUUUACAUUUCAAACAACUCAGAAUAAGGCAGAUAUCUGAGAUGUCUCUAAAGAACAUUUACUGAGCAUAUAGUGCGUCCAGGGUUGGGUAUCCAGGGGUGAAUAAAACAGAGUCUGCUCUUGAGUAUCUUGGAGUUCAGGGGAGACAUCAAGAUGUAUGAUUAAGGGAAAUGAUGCAGGUGCUAUGAAAGAGAGGGGCUUCCCUGGUGGCUCAGAUGGUAAAGAAUCUGCCUGCAAUGAAGGAAACUGGGGUUCGAUCCC